AAAAGGGUUGGGAUGAGUCAGGGAGAGCUAGGAUGGGGGCAGUCUCUAAAGCUGCCUUCAAGGAAUGGAAAGAGGAGUGGGGAAAGGUUUUAGGAUCUAUGGGGUCAGCUAGGUUUCCUUUUGUGAGUUUAUAUAAUGGUUUUGUUAGGAUGGCAAAACCGGGUAUCUAAAGUCGAAAGUAUCCAACCAUGCCUAGGAAGGAAAGGAGUUGUUGUUUUACAGGUGUUGGGGUUUGAGAGAUCAGCUGAACAUGAUUGGCAGGGAGAGCACAUGUGUUUUUAUGAGAAUUACGCUGAGAUAGGUAACAGAUGAGGAAGAAAUUUGGGCUUGACUGAAGUAAUCGGGGCUGUCUGUGAAGCUUUGUGGCAGUACAGCCCAGGGCUUCCGAGGCGAUCGGGCGGCGUCAGUCUUCAGCCGCUAAGCCGAGAAGAUCUAGGAAGGAGUCAGACAGCCUUGGGCCAGAGUUCCAGGGGCUCCGGGAAUGGCUGCCAGGUGCAGUGGAGGUUGUUGUCAUAAGGAGCUGGAUAGCCGGGGGACAAUAUUCGUCCUGAUGUGGCUGCAUGGAUCUGACCACCACAUUCCGCUGUAGAAGACACAGAGAGAUGGGAACGUUCAACUUCAGGCAUCACACGUUUCUAUUCAGUUUCUAUUUAGCUACUUUGCAAAACCAAAGCCAUUAUGUCUGCAUUAUAUACAUAGAGAAAAAGAAUCACCAUCAUCUAUCUCUCCUGACCAUUUUAAUACUUCUUCCAAAUCAUCACCUCUGUGGAAAGUCUUUAUCCUCCAUGCAAUUAAAGUUGAGAGCAUAAAGCAAUAAGACACUCAUGUGAUAAUUCUAAUAAUAACACUGUACCUAUAGUCUCCGUAAGAGAGUACUAGAAAAACUGUCUUUCAUAGCUGAAAACACACACUCAGACACAUGCAAAUCUCAGAAUGCAUAAAACUCACACUGGAAAGUGUGAUAAAAUUCCUCCUCUUUUCCAAUAAAGGAAGUCAAUGCAACAUGGUGGAAAUACCCUGAGGCCUGGCUUUUGCACCAUAGUCUGACUGCCUUCCACACUCACCUAUGCACGAAGGUAGCGGUUUGUCCCACACCCUCCUGUCUCCACUCAAACAGGUCAGGGUGUUGCUGCCAUGCAUGGCGUACCCCGGGUUGCAACUGUACAGAACUACAGUGUCGGUAAAGUGACCUUCAUCACGGAUCCUAUAGCCGUAGUUAGGGAUGCCCGGAUCCUCACAUUUUACCAGAUCAAAACCUGCAAAAGAGAAAGGGAAGGAAUGAACAGAACUCAAGGGUGGACAUCUGCCUUAAAAUAGAGAUGAAAUAAACAAGGUUGCUAAAUGCUCCUUGAAGGGUAGGGAGAAAAAAAGGAGAUUGUUAAUUUACAAAGGGGAAAAGAAAGAUGGGUCUGUAUUGGGGCUAUUUGUUACGCAUGUGUGAUUUCUUGAAGUUCGAUCAUCUUAUUUGUUCCUCCCUACAUACAAGGUUUUUUUUUUUUUUUUUGCUUUUGCUGCCCAGGCUGGAGUGCAAUGGCGUGAUCUUGCCUCACUGCAACGUCUGCCUCCCAGGUUCAAGCGAUUCUCCUGCCUCAGCCUUCCAAGUAGCUGGGAUUACAGGUGCCUUCCACAACACCCAGCUAAUUUUUUGUAUUUUUAGUAGAGAUGAGGUUUCACUAUGUUGGCCAGGCUGGUCUCGAAUACCUGACUUCAGGCAAUCCACCCCUUCAGCCUCCCAAAGUGCUGGGAUUACAGGCGUGAGCCACUGUGCCCGGCCCCUCAAGCUCUUCUUUUCCAGAGUUCCACAACUUCAUCUGUCAGUCCAAGCCUCCAGUCUACAUGCUGGAUUCUCUGGUGAGCCCCAAUGCCUUCUAGGAACAGGAUGCUCUGCUGCCUCGUUGCCUCUCUCUGUCACAACCUAGACCUCCAAGGAAGAGGGGCCACCCAUCGGCACCGUCAGGGUGCUUUGCAGAAUCCUGACAGCCAGCACUUAUUCCAGCCCAUUGUCAAGAGCCGCCCACCUUCCCGACAACUUCCUCCAAACUCCAAGAUUUCAACUUCCUGGGAAAAGAAAAAGUUGUUCCUGCCCACAGAAAACUGGCGCUCCUGAAUUACUGCCGACCACACUCCUGAUGGUGCAUGGUUAUGAGGCUCUUGAGGAAAUCCACACACAACAGAAACUGCAGAAAUGAAUCAUUAUAAUGACCUCAUCAAAAUAAGCUCUUAAACUCAAAGAAAUAGAUGACAGAAAUGAAGAUUUGGCUUCUUCAGUACUGAAAGCUGUAUAUUGCUUUUAUGUGAGGCAAUAUUUUAGGGCCAUCUGUGAAGACAGUCUUACAGUAACAUAUUUCUCUUCAUAUCAUGAUGCAAAUUUUGACAGUUGUAAAAAGGAGAGCUGGAAACUUGAGGGACCACAUGGUCUCUUUCCUUCUAUUUCCACCAAACUUUGAAUGCUUCCUUUUCUCAAAAAGAAAUUAAAUUUUGAAAUGAAUUUGUGACUAAGUCCUCCUGUCAACGUGAAGUCUGAGAUGCCCUUCCAUUGAGGAAAAUAUAUUCUUAAAUUCACAAUAUAAUUUUACCCUGCUGAUGUCUGAAUAAUCAAGAUUGAGAUUUGCAACUUUGUAUAGAAGAAAGAGUGCAUGCUUGAUCCUUUACACUCAGUGGCUAAGAAAAUUUCCUUCCAUAAAGUUUCCUUGCACAAAGAGUCAGUCUUUACUAACUAUGACAUUAUUAUUUUUACAAUAACCCUGAUCUAUUUAAGAGACACCAAUAAUUUUAAUUCAAGAUGCCUGGAAUUCAAGAACAGAAGAGUGUAUUGAUCUUGGUGCAAAGCAAAGGGUUAUGCUAAAUGUCCACAAAGGGGAGGUAGAAAUUAGGGGGAUGGUUUCAAUCACCUCCGGUUUCAGGGUUAUUCAAAUAUUUGAUGACCUUCAUCUGAACGCAUAAUGCCAAGAAGACAGGGCAGAAAGGAAGACAUUCAAUAUCAUGUAUGACAAAAUCCACCAUUAUUACAGAUUAUUCAGUGCUCAUUUCUGUUUUCACAGAGAGGAAAAAAGAAACAGAAGUCUUUAUUGUUGUUGUGUUACUGGGUUUGGGGGUUUGGAAGUGACAGCACUGAACAACUCUUUAGAAGGUAGAAGGCCGUCCUGCCCAGCAGUGGGGAUGACCACCAGCAAACCAGAGGCAGAAUGACUUGUUGGAGGUGAUGAUUCUCCCCGGCCACACUUGGAGUCCACUUCCCUACUAAUAACAAUCUUCCAAAAUGUUGUGCUAUCUUGAAUUUACAUUAGGUAUGCUGCUUAUCAAAUGUCAUUGGAACAUAAAAUUGGAAAUAACCAUUAGGCACACAAAAUCGGGGUGUAAAAAAUAUAAAACUUUUAAAAGAGUUCAACAACAUCUAUCCCUAUGAUCAGUACCACUGGAACAGGACCCUGGGAAAAUUUAAAAAUCUUUUUGAGGGGUGAGGGCCGCCCAUGCUAACAGGGCACCCAGGUCCUGUCCAUGAAGAACAAAGCUGUGAGUGGCAAUGGGGCCAGGAAACUGUGGGGUUCUGCAUACAGCACCCAGGAGGUAUCCACCUUAACAAACCACACCCAAUGUGACCCGAACUUCUCAUUU
Long non-coding RNA from Pongo pygmaeus (Bornean orangutan), 3615 nucleotides. RefSeq lists it as uncharacterized. The record is from RefSeq and is a predicted model, not a curated record. NCBI's taxonomy places the organism in Eukaryota, Metazoa, Chordata, Mammalia, Primates, Hominidae. The transcript is spliced from 3 exons.